Scylla paramamosain (green mud crab) is the source of this 720-nucleotide long non-coding RNA. RefSeq lists it as uncharacterized. The transcript is spliced from 3 exons. Lineage: Eukaryota; Metazoa; Arthropoda; Malacostraca; Decapoda; Portunidae. The record is from RefSeq and is a predicted model, not a curated record.
GUGAUGAAUACUCGAAACAGUGAACCUCCUAACUGAGAUACUGAAUCUGUAACUCUCAGCCGUCUUAGUCCUGCUCGCCUCAUCACUGCCGCGUGGUUACUUAAAGACGGCGUACCACGUAUUAGUUUCCUUUGUACUUGUGCGUCCGUAUCAAUACCGUGUGCUGUAAACUGAACGAACUGAGAUACUCAUUCCGUAAGUCUCAGUUUUGCUCGCCUCUCCAUUACUUCGUGGUGACGUAAAGGUGACGGCCCGUGUGUUAGUUUCCUCGGUAAUUGUGCCUCCGUAACAUUGCUGUGUGCCGUGGUCGUGAGAACUGCGGGGCGGCGGUGCAAACUGUGCCGUGGAGAGUCGCUGGGUGUUGGAAUCGCGUCCCAGUCUCCGUAAAGGCGUUAUAUUCCCUCCCUGCUCUGACCGAGUGCAAGUCCUGGAAAGACACCGAGACUGAGAGAGGCUGAGUGUGUUCCGCCGCCCUUGAGAGAGACAGAAGAUAAUUGCACUGGAAGAAUGGGCUGGAACGCUGGAACGAGGCAAAAGAAGAACAAGUGAAGGGCGUUGCAAACCGUGAGAAAGACCAUGCGAGGACUGACUAUGAUAGCCGAGAGGGUACAGGAGUGAAACCCAAUCACGGCGAGUAUAAUGGAAACAACUGGAAACAUAAGUCUUGUUUCUUUUUCGUAUCAUUCAAUUCUACACUGCAGUUUUGUAUUGGAUGUUGCU